GCGGAAGGAUCAUUACUGAUUUGCUUAAUUGCACCACAUGUGUUUUUUAUUGAACAAAUUUCUUUGGUGGCGGGAGCAAUCCUACCGCCAGAGGUUAUAACUAAACCAAACUUUUUAUUUACAGUCAAACUUGAUUUAUUAUUACAAUAGUCAAAACUUUCAACAACGGAUCUCUUGGUUCUCGCAUCGAUGAAGAACGCAGCGAAAUGCGAUACGUAAUAUGAAUUGCAGAUAUUCGUGAAUCAUCGAAUCUUUGAACGCACAUUGCGCCCUUUGGUAUUCCAAAGGGCAUGCCUGUUUGAGCGUCAUUUCUCCCUCAAACCCCCGGGUUUGGUGUUGAGCAAUACGCUAGGUUUGUUUGAAAGAAUUUAACGUGGAAACUUAUUUUAAGCGACUUAGGUUUAUCCAAAACGCUUAUUUUGCUAGUGGCCACCACAAUUUAUUUCAUAACUUUGACCUCAAAUCAGG
RNAcentral lists this unclassified non-coding RNA (468 nucleotides) under Candida tropicalis. RNAcentral describes it as "sequence contains 18S rRNA gene, ITS1, 5.8S rRNA gene, ITS2, 28S rRNA gene". The stretch from base 155 to 308 matches the Rfam family "5.8S ribosomal RNA". The record is from RNAcentral. Lineage: Eukaryota; Fungi; Ascomycota; Pichiomycetes; Serinales; Debaryomycetaceae.